Molecule: ribosomal RNA, 431 nt
Filed under: uncultured bacterium
Lineage: Bacteria
Description: partial 16S ribosomal RNA
Rfam family: Bacterial small subunit ribosomal RNA
Source: RNAcentral
AACGAACGCUGGCGGCAGGCUUAACACAUGCAAGUCGAGCGCCCCGCCAGGGGAGCGGCAGACGGGUGAGUAGCGCGUGGGAACGUACCCUUAUCUUCGGGAUAGCUCCGGGAAGCUGGAAUUAAUACCGAAUGUGCCCUUUGGGGGAAAGAUUUAUCGGAUAAGGAUCGGCCCGCGUUGGAUUAGCUAGUUGGGGGGGUAAAGGCCUACCAAGGCGACGAUCCAUAGCUGGUCUGAGAGGAUGAUCAGCCACAUUGGGACUGGGACGCAGCCCAGAAUCCUACGGGAGGCAGCAGUGGGGAAUAUUGGACUACGGGCGCAAGCCUGAUCCAGCCAGGCCGGGUGAGUGAUGAAGUCCUUAGGGAAGUAAAGCUCUUUCACCGGAGAAGAUAAUGACGGUACCCGGAGAAGAAGCCCCGGCUAACUUCGUG